GAUGAACGCUGGCGGCGUGCCUAAUACAUGCAAGUCGAGCGAACGGACGAGAAGCUUGCUUCUCUGAUGCUAGCGGCGGACGGGUGAGUAACACGUGGAUAACCUACCUAUAAGACUGGGAUAACUUCGGGAAACCGGAGCUAAUACCGGAUAAUAUUUUGAACCGCAUGGUUCAAAAGUGAAAGACGGUCUUGCUGUCACUUAUAGAUGGAUCCGCGCUGCAUUAGCUAGUUGGUAAGGUAACGGCUUACCAAGGCAACGAUGCAUAGCCGACCUGAGAGGGUGAUCGGCCACACUGGAACUGAGACACGGUCCAGACUCCUACGGGAGGCAGCAGUAGGGAAUCUUCCGCAAAGGGCGAAAGCCUGACGGAGCAACGCCGCGUGAGUGAUGAAGGUCUUCGGAUCGUAAAACUCUGUUAUUAGGGAAGAACAUAUGUGUAAGUAACUGUGCACAUCUUGACGGUACCUAAUCAGAAAGCCACGGCUAACUACGUG
This 497-nucleotide ribosomal RNA is filed under the name uncultured bacterium. Its description in RNAcentral is "partial 16S ribosomal RNA". It matches the Rfam family "Bacterial small subunit ribosomal RNA", at positions 28 to 507 of the family's 1533-position model. The record is from RNAcentral.